GAGUUUGAUCCUGGCUCAGGACGAACGCUGGCGGCACGCCUAACACAUGCAAGUCGAACGGUGAAGGGGGAGCUUGCUCCUCCGGAACAGUGGCGGACGGGUGAGUAACACGUGAGCAACCUGCCUUUCAGAGGGGGACAACAGUUGGAAACGACUGCUAAUACCGCAUAACGUAUUUUGGCGGCAUCGCCGGAAUACCAAAGGAGCAAUCCGCUGAAAGAUGGGCUCGCGUCUGAUUAGAUAGUUGGUGAGGUAACGGCUCACCAAGUCGACGAUCAGUAGCCGGACUGAGAGGUUGAACGGCCACAUUGGGACUGAGACACGGCCCAGACUCCUACGGGAGGCAGCAGUGGGGGAUAUUGGACAAUGGGGGAAACCCUGAUCCAGCGAUGCCGCGUGAGGGAAGAAGGUUUUCGGAUUGUAAACCUCUGUGGAGGGGGACGAUAAUGACGGUACCCCUUUAGGAAGCCACGGCUAACUACGUGCCAGCAGCCGCGGUAAUACGUAGGUGGCGAGCGUUGUCCGGAAUUACUGGGUGUAAAGGGAGUGUAGGCGGGAAAGCAAGUCAGAAGUGAAAACUAUGGGCUUAACCCAUAGCCUGCUUUUGAAACUG
RNAcentral lists this ribosomal RNA (613 nucleotides) under uncultured bacterium. Its description in RNAcentral is "bacterial SSU rRNA". It matches the Rfam family "Bacterial small subunit ribosomal RNA", at positions 9 to 635 of the family's 1533-position model. The record is from RNAcentral.